This 225-nucleotide ribosomal RNA is filed under the name uncultured Staphylococcus sp. RNAcentral describes it as "partial 16S ribosomal RNA". It matches the Rfam family "Bacterial small subunit ribosomal RNA", at positions 137 to 354 of the family's 1533-position model. Lineage: Bacteria; Bacillati; Bacillota; Bacilli; Caryophanales; Staphylococcaceae. The record is from RNAcentral.
ANCGGGAUAACUUCGGGAAACCGGAGCUAAUACCGGAUAAUAUUUCGAACCGCAUGGUUCGAUAGUGAGAGGUGGUUUUGCUAUCACUUAUAGAUGGACCCGCGCCGUAUUAGCUAGUUGGUAAGGUAACGGCUUACCAAGGCGACGAUACGUAGCCGACCUGAGAGGGUGAUCGGCCACACUGGAACUGAGACACGGUCCAGACUCCUACGGGAGGCAGCAGAU